This 274-nucleotide ribosomal RNA is filed under the name uncultured bacterium. Its description in RNAcentral is "partial 16S ribosomal RNA". It matches the Rfam family "Bacterial small subunit ribosomal RNA", at positions 523 to 796 of the family's 1533-position model. The record is from RNAcentral.
AUACGGAGGGUGCAAGCGUUACUCGGAAUCACUGGGCGUAAAGCGCGCGCAGGCGGUCUUUUAAGUUGGAUGUGAAAGCCUACGGCUCAACCGUAGAACUGCAUCCAAAACUAUUAGACUAGAGUGUGCGAGAGGAAGAUGGAAUUAGUUGUGUAGGGGUAAAAUCCGUAGAGAUAACUAGGAAUACCAAAAGCGAAGGCAAUCUUCUGGAACACUACUGACGCUGAGGCGCGAAAGCGUGGGGAGCAAACAGAAUUAGAAACCCCUGUAGUCC